RNAcentral lists this ribosomal RNA (508 nucleotides) under uncultured Gemmatimonadota bacterium. Its description in RNAcentral is "bacterial SSU rRNA". It matches the Rfam family "Bacterial small subunit ribosomal RNA", at positions 8 to 522 of the family's 1533-position model. Lineage: Bacteria; Pseudomonadati; Gemmatimonadota. The record is from RNAcentral.
AGAGUUUGAUCUGGCUCAGGACGAACGCUGGCGGCGUGCCUAACACAUGCAAGUCGAACGGGACCAGGGGCAACUCUGGUUCAGUGGCGGACGGGUGCGUAACACGUGAGGAACAUGACUUUCGGCGGGGGAUAGCCGGCCCAACGGCCGGGUAAUACCGCGUACGACCACAUGGGGACAUCCCCGCGUGGUGAAAGCAGCAAUGCACCGAAAGAGUGCCUCGCGGCCUAUCAGCUAGUUGGUGGGGUAACGGCUCACCAAGGCGACGACGGGUAGCUGGCCUGAGAGGAUGGCCAGCCACAUUGGGACUGAGACACGGCCCAGACUCCUACGGGAGGCAGCAGUGGGGAAUAUUGCGCAAUGGGCGAAAGCCUGACGCAGCGACGCCGCGUGUGGGAUGACGGCCUUCGGGUUGUAAACCACUGUCGGGAGGGACGAAUGCGCCGCAAGGCGAGUGACGGUACCUCCAAAGGAAGCACCGGCUAACUCCGUGCCAGCAGCCGCGGUA